This 200-nucleotide ribosomal RNA is filed under the name uncultured bacterium. RNAcentral describes it as "partial 16S ribosomal RNA". It matches the Rfam family "Bacterial small subunit ribosomal RNA", at positions 29 to 242 of the family's 1533-position model. The record is from RNAcentral.
AACGAACGCUGGCGGCAGGCUCAACACAUGCAAGUCGAACGGUCUCUUCGGAGGCAGUGGCAGACGGGUGAGUAACGCGUGGGAAUCUACCUAGUUCUACGGAACAACAGAGGGAAACUUCUGCUAAUACCGUAUAAGACCUGAGGGUGAAAGCGGGGGACCGCAAGGCCUCGCGCGACAAGAUGAGCCGAUGUCCGAUU